CCCUUAGAUGUUCUGGGCCGCACACGCGCUACACUGAAGGAGGCAGCGUGUACUCCUGGAUCGAAAGAUUUGGGUAACCCGCGAAUCUCCUUCGUGCUAGGGACUGAGGUUUGCAAUUAUCCUUCAUGAACGAGGAAUUCCCAGUAAGUGCAAGUCAUAAGCUUGCGCUGACUACGUCCCUGCCCUUUGUACACACCGCCCGUCGCUACUACCGAUUGAAUGAUUUAGUGAGGACUUCGGACUGGGACCGAUGCGGCUUUCGGGCUGCGUCGGUAUUCUGGAAAGAUGUCCAAACUGUAUCAUUUAGAGGAAGUAAAAGUCGUAACA
Molecule: ribosomal RNA, 327 nt
Filed under: uncultured eukaryote
Lineage: Eukaryota
Description: partial 18S ribosomal RNA
Rfam family: Eukaryotic small subunit ribosomal RNA
Source: RNAcentral